AUAUUCCUUGCAGUGAGUAACUUAAGUUUCUCGACAAAUUAAUUAUCAUAUACUACAUAGUUUUUUUUAUCUUAUACAUAGUUGUUAAAUGCAAUUUAAGCAUGCUUAUUAGUAUUUUGAUGGUGUACAAACACGUGGUUACCAUUUUUAGAAAAGGGCCCCGGGUUCUAGUUUCGCCCCGGGCCCCCGAAAUCUCAGGACCGGCCCUGUCGACAUCUACAGGCAUGUUGAAUUGUUGACCCGAUUUGACGGACUAUAUAAGUGCUCUUCUCCUUGGGAAUUUGAAAGCACGCCCCUUCUAAGCAUCGCACAAUAUAUAGGCUUAUAUACGUGGUAGCAGUCAUUUUACAAGCAUGUGUGCAUUAGACCAGAAAAGGGGUAAAUUGCCUUUGAUACUGAUCUGGUACCCCCUAUAAGCGUAUGAUAUUAAAUAGGUUUCUAUUGAUUCAUCAACAGAGAAUUUAUGUCAAUUGAUUUAAUGUCGAUAUAAGCUUUAUGCAAGUUUGUUUUCUUGAGAGUACGCAAUCGGUACUAUAGCUUCUUUAUGCAAGUUUGUGAUUUUUGAAGUAGUGGAUCCUACCAGGUUUCAAACUCGCAGAGCAUAUUGAAGGUGGUACAAAUCAUUGCAGAGUGAAUUACAAGUAGCUAUAUGUGGAUUGGAAUUUAUUGAAGCUUUGCAUAUUCAAAUUUUUAAGUAGAAUGAGACGUGCAUUGCACGUGCAAGCUUACUAUGCUCUCAAAAGGAAAACGUUUGGGGCCGGCAGCCCUGCCGAGCUUUUCGUCGACUCACGUGCCACGAAAGACCCAUCCCGUGGAGAUACGUGUACAUGGUGGGUUCCGCGUGACUAUUAUUAUUUUUCUUUCACCUCCAGCCGUCGCGGCUCUACUCCUCCACGGCCUCCCUCAUGUUGCUCGCAAGCUCUAGAAGCUCCCUCACUGACGGCGAAGUGCUCAUGUGCGACGGCGCCCAAUGUUGCCUCUCCUUCAUGGCCGGCGAACCCCUCUCCCAUCCUUCCUCCUCAAUUCGGAUCCCCGCUAUCUCCCCAUGCCCAUGGCCGCCUCCAAUCCUCGGGAUCUCAACAAUGGCCUCUUCCCAACUAUGGCUUCGAGUCCCCGAGGGCGAAGCUACGGGAACCGUCUAUCAGGGCGCUGCAACCGGAGCUGCAAGGCUGCAACUACGGGCACACGUUGGACGGCGAGGAUGAGGCGAUGCUGCUCAGAGGAAAAAACUAAUGUCACAAUUUAUCCUACAUAUCAACAUAGCAGUUUGCUACAACCAACAUCAAGUUUUGCUAUAACACACAACAGGCGUCGCGGUUUUUCUACAACUAGCGUCGCUUUUUUGCUACAACCUGUUGGGGAACGCGGUAAUUUCAAAAAAAAUCCUACGAUCACGCAAAAUCUGUCUAGGUGAUGCAUAGCAGCGAGAGGGGAGAGUGUGUCCACGUACCCUCGUAGACCGAAAGUGGAAGCGUUUCAAUAAUGCGGUUGAUGUAGUCGAACUUCUUCGCGAUCCAACCAAUCAAGUACCGAACGUACGGCACCUCUACAUUCAGCACACGUUCAAAUCGGUGACGUCCCUCGUACUCUUGAUCUAGUUGAGGACGAGGGUGAGUUUCGUCAGCACGAUGGCGUGGCGACGGUGAUGACGAUGCUACCGGCGCAGGGCUUCGCCUAAGCACUACGAUGGUAUGAUCGAGGUGUGUAACUGUGGAGGGGGGCACCGCACACUGUUAAGAGAAACUUGUGUUCCUUUGGGGUGCCCCGUGCCCGCGUAUAUAAAGGAGGGAGGGAGAGAGGCCAACCCUCCUAGGGGCGCGCCAAGUGUGUCCUACUAGGACUCCCAAGUCCUAGUAGGAUUCCCUUUCCUUUUCGGAGUAGGAAAGAAGGAAAGGAGGGAGAGGGAGAAGGAAAGGGGGGGGGGCACCCCUUGUCCAACUUGGUUUGGGCAGGGGCGAGGCGCGCGCCACCUCGUGGCCCUUCUUCCCUCUCUCCACUAAAGCCCAACAAGGCCCAUUAACUUCCCUCGGCGAAUUCCUGUAACUCUCCGGUACUCCGAAAAAUACUCGAAUCACUCGAAACCAUUCCGAUGUCUGAAUAUAGGCUUCCAAUAUAUCAAUCUUUACCUCUCAACCAUUUCGAGACUCCUCGUCAUAUCCGUGAUCUCAUACGGGUCUCCGAACAAACUUCGUUCAACAAAUCACAUAACUCAUAAUACAAAUCAUCAUCGAACGUUAAGCGUGUGGACCCUACGGGUUCGAGAACAUGUAGACAUGACCGAGACACAUCUCCAGUCAAUAACCAAUAGCGGAACCUGGAUGCUCAUAUUGGAUCCUACAUAUUCUAUGAAGAUCUUUAUCGGUCAAACCGCAUAACAACAUACGUUGUUCCCUUUGUCAUUGGUAUGUUACUUGCCCGAGAUUCGAUCGUCGGUAUCAUCAUACCUAGUUCAAUCUUGUUACCGGUAAGUCUCUUUACUCGUUCCGUAAUGCUUCAUCCUGCAACUAACUCAUUACUCACAUUGCUUGCAAGGCUUAUAGUGAUGAGCAUUAUCGAGAGGGCCCAGAGAUACCUCUCUGGUACACGGAGUGAAAAAUCCUAAUCUCGAUCUAUGCCAACCCAACAAACACCUUUGGAGACACCUGUAGAGCAUCUUUAUAAUCACUCAGUUACGUUGUGACGUUUGAUAACACACAAGGUGUUCCUCCGGUAUUCGGGAGUUGCAUAAUCUCAUAGUCUGAUGAACGUGUAUAAGUCAUGAAGAAAGCAGUAGCAAUGAAACUGUAACAAUCAUAAUGCUAAGCUAACGGAUGGGUAUUGUCCAUCACAUCAUUCUCCUAAUGAUGUGAUUCCGUUCAUCAAAUGACCACACAUGUCUAUGGUUAGGAAACAUAACCAUCUUUGAUUAAUGAGCUAGUCAAAUAGAGGCAUACUAGGGACACUAUGUUUUGUCUAUGUAUUCACACAUGUAUUAAGUUUCCGGUUAAUACAAUUCUAGCAUGAAUAAUAAACAUUUAUCAUGAAAUAAGGAAAUAAAUAAUAACUUUAAUAUUGCCUCUAGGGCAUAUUUCUUUCAGUCUCCCACUUGCACUAGAGUCAAUAAUCUAGUUCACAUUGCUAUGUGAUUAACACCUAGAGUACUAAGGUGCGAUCAUGUUUUACUUGUGAGAGAAGUUUAGUCAACGGGUCUGUCACAUUCAGAGAGCCAUAUAUAUUUUGCAAUUAUUCUAUGUCUACAAUGCUCUGCAUGGAGCUACUUUAGCUAAUUGCUCCCGAGGCAUAGGGAAUGCCUUUUAUUUUCUUUGUAUCUUCUGCCGUGGUCGGGCUUUGAGUCUUACUCAACUUUACACCUUGUAACACAGGCAAGAACCCUUUCUUUGACUGAUCCAUUUUGAACUUCUUUAAAACUUUAUCAAGGUAUGUGCUUUGUGAAAGUCCAAUUAAGCGUCUUGAUCUAUCUCUAUAGAUAUUGAUGCCCAAUAUGUAAGCAGCUUCACCAAGGUCUUUCAUUGAAAAACUCUUAUUCAAGUAUCCCUUUAUGCUAUCCAAAAAUUCUAUAUCAUUUCCAAUCAACAAUAUGUCGUCCACAUAUAAUAUUAGAAAUACUACAGAGCUCCCACUCACUUACUUGUAAAUAUAGGCUUCUCCAAAAGUCUGUAUAAAACCAUAUGCUUUGAUCACACUAUCAAAGCAUUAGUUCCAACUCCGAGAGGCUUGCACCAGUCCAUAAAUGGAUCGCUGGAGCUUGCGCAUUUUGUUAGCAUCCUUUGGAUCGACAAAACCUUCUCAUUGCAUCAUAUACAACUCUUCUUCCAGAAAUCCAUUAAGGAAUGCAGUUUUGACAUCCAUCUGCCAAAUUUUAAAAUCAUAAAAUGCGGCAAUUGCUAACAUGAUUCGGACAUACUUAAGCAUCGCUACAGUUGAGAAAAUCUCAUUGUAGUCAACACCUUAAACUUGUCGAAAACCUUUUGCGACAAGUCGACCAUUGUAGAUAGUAACGCUACUAUCAGUGUCCGUCUUCCUCUUGAAGAUCCAUUUAUUUUCUAUGGCUUGCCGAUAAUCGGGCAAGUCCACCAAAGUCCAGACUUUGUUCUCAUACAUGGAUCCCAUCUCAGAUUUCAUGGCCUCAAGCCAUUUCGUGGAAUCUGGGCUCAUCAUCGCUUCCUCAUAGUUCGUAGGUUCAUUAUGGUCCAGUAACAUGACUUUCAGAAUAGGAUUACCGUACCACUCUGGUGCGGACCGUAUUAUGGGAGACCUACGAGGUUCGGUAAUAACUUGAUCUGAAGUUUCAUGAUCAUCAUCAUCAUUAGCUUCCUCACUAAUUGGUGUAGCAAUCACUAGAACUGAUUUCUGUGAUGAACUACUUUCCAAUUCGGGAGAAGGUAUGAUUACCUCAUCAAGUUUUAUUUUCCUCCCACUCACUUCUUUUGAGAGAAACUCCUUCUCUAGAAAGGAUCCAUUCUUAGCAACGAACAUCUUGCCUUCGGAUCUGUGAUAGAAGGUGUACCCAAUAGGUUCUUUUGGGUAUCCUAUGAAGACACAUUUCUCCGGUUUGGGCUCGAGCUUAUCAGGUUGAACCUUAUUCGCAUAAGCAUCGCAACCCCAAACUUUAAGAAACGACAGCCUUGGUUUGUUGCCAAACCACAGUGCAUACGGUGUCGUCUCAACAGAUUCUGAUGGUGCCCUGUUUAACGUGAAUGCAGCUGUCUCUAAUGCAUAAUCCCAAAACGAUAGUGGUAAAUCAGUAAGAGACAUCAUAGAUCGCACCAUAUCUAAUAAAGUACGGUUAUAACGUUCGGACACACCAUUACGCUGUGGUGUUCGAGGUGGCGUGAGUUGCGAAACUAUUCCAUAUUGUUUCAAAUGAAGACCAAACACGUAACUCAAAUAUUCGCCUCUACGAUCAGAUCGUAGAAACUUUAUUUUCUAGUAACUAUGAUUCUUCACUUCACUCUGAAAUUCUUUGAAAUUUUCGAAUGUUUCAGACUUUGUGUUUCAUUAAGUAGGCUCAAAUCAUUUGUGAUGGUCAAAAAAUAAUGAUACUUGCCACGAGCCUCAACACUCAUCAAAACACAUACAUCGGUAUGUAUUAUUUCCAAUAAGUCAUUAGCUCGUUCCAUUGUUUCGGAGAAUGAAGUUUUAGUCAUCUUUCCCAUAAGGCACGGUUUGCAAGUAUCAACUGAUUCAUAAUCAAGUGAUUCAAAAAGCCCAUCAGCAUGGAUUUUCUUCAUGCGCUUUACACCAAUAUGACCCAAACGGCAGUGCCACAAGUAUGUUGCCUAUCAUUAUCAACUUUGCAUCUUUUGGCAUCAAUAUUAUGAAUAUGUGCAUCACUACGAUCGAGAUUCAAUAAACCGUCAACAUUGGGUGUAUGACCAUACAAGGUUUUAUUCAUGUAAAUAAAAUAACAAUUAUUCUCUAUCCUAAAUGAAUAACCGUAUUGCAAUAAACAUGAUCUAAUCAUAUUCAUGCUUUAUGCAAACACCAAAUAACAUUUAUUUAGGUUCAACUCUAAUCCCGAAAGUAUAUGGUGUGUGCGAUGAUGAUCAUAUCAAUAUUGGAACCACUUCCAACAUACAUCGUCACUUCACCUUUAACUAGGCAUGGUACAAUUUCACUGCUCACUGCUAAAUGAAUUUUCUGAAGCUACCGGCAACAGUCAUCACACACACAGCUAACUGAAUUUUUUGAAGCAAUUUUCAACCUGUAUCAAUUUGAUUCGAUUUUGAUUUUGACCCGGAAAAUAAAAUUUUGAUUGCAAUCCAAUUAAACUCUAUGUAUCAAUUAAACUCUUCGUAUCAACUGUUAAUUUUGAUUGCAAUCAAGUUUUCGCAGGAACACAAGCAAAGUACCAGUGGCGUCAGGGGUCUUGGGCGGGGGUCGAAGGGCGUCGGCGUCGCCCACCACCAGUAGCAGCGGAAGUAGAGGCGUCGCCCACCACUACCACCACAACCAGCAGGCGCCUGAAGUAGACCAGCGCGGUGGCGACUGAAGUGGACCAGCAUGGUGGCAAUGGGCGGCAGAAUGUGGGCGAAGUAGACCGACGCGACAGUGGGCGGGCGACGGAGCUCUUCCUUGUGGGCGGGCGGCGGAGCUCCUCAUCAUGGGCGGUCGGUCGAGCUCCUUCAUGGGUGGGCGGCGGAGCUCCUCCUCCUGGGCGGGCUUGUAGGCGACGCAAGACCUGAUCGUGGGCGGCGCAGGAGCUGCUCCCGGAGACGGCUGGCUGCGGCAGCUAGCCGUGGCGACGGCCGGCUGGCCUUGGCGAUGCGGAUGACGGGAGGUGGAAGGAGAUGGAGUUUAUUUACAGAGCUUUGAAAGUGGAAGGGUGUUUUUCCAAAAAAAAAAAACUAUUGUACUGGGCGGGUGACAACUUUCCCCGGACGGAGGGAGUAUUGGUUUAUAGUGGGAGCAGUAUUCAUCAUUUUCCCAUCAGAAGCCAACCAAACCAUGUAGGACGUCCACUUGCCUGGAAGACCAACCCAUGCAUAUGAAUGCUGGCGACAUAAAAGAGAAUGUUCUCUAGGCACAACUUCACUAAUUAAAUAAUUCAUUAUGAUGACACCAGGUAGUUACUAUAUAUGUAACUCCACCGGCGUGACUGCAUUGCAAACCAUGCAACAACAAACAGGG
This 6630-nucleotide long non-coding RNA is filed under the name Triticum aestivum (bread wheat). RNAcentral describes it as "long non-coding RNA (TAES_LNC022940)". The record is from RNAcentral. Lineage: Eukaryota; Viridiplantae; Streptophyta; Magnoliopsida; Poales; Poaceae.